This 435-nucleotide ribosomal RNA is filed under the name uncultured soil bacterium. Its description in RNAcentral is "bacterial SSU rRNA". It matches the Rfam family "Bacterial small subunit ribosomal RNA", at positions 26 to 513 of the family's 1533-position model. The record is from RNAcentral.
AGAGCGAACGCUGGCGGCAGGCCUAACACAUGCAAGUCGAACGGACCCUUCGGGGUUAGUGGCGGACGGGUGAGUAACACGUGGGAACGUGCCUUUAGGUUCGGAAUAGCUCCUGGAAACGGGUGGUAAUGCCGAAUGUGCCCUUCGGGGGAAAGAUUUAUCGCCUUUAGAGCGGCCCGCGUCUGAUUAGCUAGUUGGUGGGUAAUGGCCCACAAGGCUACGAUCAGUAGCUGGUCUGAGAGGAUGACCAGCCACAUUGGGACUGAGACACGGCCAAACUCCUACGGGAGGCAGCAGUGGGAAUCUUGCGCAAUGGCGAAAGCCUGACGCAGCCAUGCCGCGUGUAUGAUGAAGGUCUUAGAUUGUAAAAUAUUUCGACCGUGAAGAUAAUGACUGUAGCCGGAGAAGAAGCCCCGGAUAACUUACGCGCCAGCA